Molecule: ribosomal RNA, 522 nt
Filed under: Amathia distans
Lineage: Eukaryota; Metazoa; Bryozoa; Gymnolaemata; Ctenostomatida; Vesiculariidae
Description: partial 16S ribosomal RNA
Rfam family: Bacterial large subunit ribosomal RNA
Source: RNAcentral
CGACUGUUUCAAAAACAUAGCUUCUAGAAAUAAUUAGAAGUAAAAUCCUGCCCAGUGAGAGAAAUCUUAAACGGCCACAUAGUGCUAAGGUAGCGUAAUAAAUUGUCCUUUCAUUGAGGACUAGUAUGAAUGGAAAAACGACGCUCAACUGUCUCUGUUAAUAAAAUAGAAAUUAGUUUUCAGGUGAAAACACCUGAAUAAAGUAAAAGGACGAUAAGACCCUAUAGAGUUUAAACAUAACACGCAAACCUAUAAAAAAUAGGAGCACAAAUGUUUUAAUUGGGGCAACAUAGGAACAAAAAAUCUCCUAUAAGAAAAAUUUAAGAUAUUAAAAAUAAAAAUCCUCAAAGAGAUAAAGAAAAACUACCUUAGGGAUAACAGCGUAAUUUUUCUAAAGAGACCUAAUCGAAAGAAAAGUUUGCGACCUCGAUGUUGGACUAAGGCAUCAAAAUGGUGAAGAAACUAUUAAAGCAGGCCUGUUCGGCCUAUAAAACCUUACAUGAUUUGAGUUUCAUUCCGUAA